UACGUAGGGUGCGAGCGUUAAUCGGAAUUACUGGGCGUAAAGCGUGCGCAGGCGGUUAUAUAAGACAGAUGUGAAAUCCCCGGGCUCAACCUUGGACCUGCAUUUGUGAAUGUAUAGAUAGAGAACGGGAGAGGGGGAUGGAAUUCCGCGUGUAGCAGUGAAAUGCGUAGAUAUGCGGAGGAACAUCGAUGGCGAAGGCAAUCCCCUGGACCUGUACUGACGCUCAUGCACGAAAGCGUGGGGAGCAAACAGGAUUAGAUACCCUGGUAGUCCACGCCCUAAACGAUGUCAACUGGUUGUUGGGUCUUCACUGACUCAGUAACGAAGCUAACGCGUGAAGUUGACCGCCUGGGGAGUACGGCCGAAAGGUUG
RNAcentral lists this ribosomal RNA (372 nucleotides) under uncultured prokaryote. RNAcentral describes it as "bacterial SSU rRNA". It matches the Rfam family "Bacterial small subunit ribosomal RNA", at positions 524 to 896 of the family's 1533-position model. The record is from RNAcentral.